GGAGAAUGCCUUGGCAUUGGGAGCCGAAGAAGGACGCGGUAAGCUGCGAAAAGCUGCGUGGAGCCGCAAGCAGGCGUUGAUACGCAGGUGUCCGAAUGGAGCAAUCCUUGCAGAGUAAUAUCUGCAAAUCAUAUACUGAAUACAUAGGUAUAUGAGGGGAACCGCCUGAACUGAAACAUCUAAGUAGGGCGAGGAAGAGAAAUCAAAAGAGAUUCCGAAAGUAGUGGCGAGCGAAAUCGGAAGAGGCCAAACCGGGAGCAGCAAUGCUUUCGGGGUUGAGGACUGCAUUUAGCAUCGGAUGAAUCUAACAGAAGCGGAUGGGAAGCCGCACCGGAGAGCGUGAGAGUCGCGUACGUGAAAGAUGAGUCCGGCGAGCAGUAUCCAGAGUACCGCGGGACACGAGGAAUCCCGUGGGAAGCCGGGGGGACCACCCUCCAAGCCUAAAUACUACCCAAUGACCGAUAGCGAAGAGUACUGUGAAGGAAAGGUGAAAAGCACUCCGAAUAGGAGGGUGAAAGAGAUCCUGAAACCGUUCGCUUACAAGCG
RNAcentral lists this ribosomal RNA (546 nucleotides) under Bigelowiella natans. RNAcentral describes it as "partial Bacterial large subunit ribosomal RNA". It matches the Rfam family "Bacterial large subunit ribosomal RNA", at positions 23 to 572 of the family's 2925-position model. Lineage: Eukaryota; Cercozoa; Chlorarachniophyceae. The record is from RNAcentral.